UACGGAGGGUGCAAGCGUUAAUCGGAAUUACUGGGCGUAAAGGGUGCGUAGGUGGUUUGGUAAGUUAUCUGUAAAAUCCCCGGGCUCAACCUGGGCAGGUCAGAUAAUACUGCUGAACUCGAGUAUGGGAGAGGGUAGUGGAAUUUCCGGUGUAGCGGUGAAAUGCGUAGAGAUCGGAAGGAACACCAGUGGCGAAGGCGGCUACCUGGCCUAAUACUGACACUGAGGCACGAAAGCGUGGGGAGCAAAC
This 250-nucleotide ribosomal RNA is filed under the name uncultured Gammaproteobacteria bacterium. RNAcentral's name for it is "partial 16S ribosomal RNA". It matches the Rfam family "Bacterial small subunit ribosomal RNA", at positions 524 to 773 of the family's 1533-position model. Lineage: Bacteria; Pseudomonadati; Pseudomonadota; Gammaproteobacteria. The record is from RNAcentral.